AUGAGAAACAUUGUGUUUUUCUUGGAAGGGUUUAGAAUUGUGAUGGUUCAGCUUCUUUGUGAACAAGAACUCUCUCCCUUUCUUCUCACAGCGCUGCAGCUCAACCUUUCUUCUUCGGUCAAACAUCAACAUCCGGCUACCACAGAAAAUUGUAUCAUCUCGUCUCUCUCUAAUUCAUCUCUAUCUCAAUCUGUGAACAAGCUUCCUCGAGUUCUCCGAUCUCUUUCAUCUACCUCCAUCAUGGAACCUCGGUCGGUGACCAUAUCGAAAAGUCUAACGAACUCAGAGAUUCGUUACGACGGACACUGA
Vicia faba (fava bean) is the source of this 309-nucleotide non-coding RNA. The record is from the annotation of a GenBank genome assembly. NCBI's taxonomy places the organism in Eukaryota, Viridiplantae, Streptophyta, Magnoliopsida, Fabales, Fabaceae.